GGGAUUGCCCUAGUAACGGCGAGUGAAGCGGCAACAGCUCAAAUUUGAAAUCUGGCCCUAGGCCCGAGUUGUAAUUUGCAGAGGAUGCUUUUGGUGACGCGCUUACCGAGUCCCCUGGAACGGGGCGCCAGAGAGGGUGAGAGCCCCGUACGGUUUGACGCCGAGCCUCUGUAAAGCUCCUUCGACGAGUCGAGUAGUUUGGGAAUGCUGCUCUAAAUGGGAGGUAAAUUUCUUCUAAAGCUAAAUAUUGGCCCGAGACCGAUAGCGCACAAGUAGAGUGAUCGAAAGAUGAAAAGCACUUUGAAAAGAGGGUUAAAUAGCACGUGAAAUUGUUGAAAGGGAAGCGCUCGUGACCAGACUUGCGCCGGGCGGAUCAUCCAGCGUUCUCGCUGGUGCACUCCGCCCGGCUCAGGCCAGCAUCGGUUUUCGCCGGGGGACAAAAGCUUCGGGAACGUAGCUCCUCUCGGGGAGUGUUAUAGCCCGUUGCGUAAUACCCCGGCGGGGACCGAGGACCGCGCUUCGGCAAGGAUGCUGGCGUAAUGGUCAUCAGCGACCCGUCUUGAAACACGGACCGAGGAGUCAAGCAUUAGUGCGAGUGUUUGGGUGUAAAACCCGCACGCGUAAUGAAAGUGAACGUAGGUGAGAGCUUCGGCGCAUCAUCGACCGAUCCUGAUGUUUUCGGAUGGAUUUGAGUAGGAGCAUUAACGCUUGGACCCGAAAGAUGGUGAACUAUACUUGAAUAGGGUGAAGCCAGAGGAAACUCUGGUGGAGGCUCGCAGCGGUUCUGACGUGCAAAUCGAUCGUCAAAUUUG
This 812-nucleotide ribosomal RNA is filed under the name Magnaporthaceae sp. Its description in RNAcentral is "partial large subunit ribosomal RNA". It matches the Rfam family "Eukaryotic large subunit ribosomal RNA", at positions 71 to 913 of the family's 3401-position model. Lineage: Eukaryota; Fungi; Ascomycota; Sordariomycetes; Magnaporthales; Magnaporthaceae. The record is from RNAcentral.